GGUUAAGCGACUAAGCGUACACGGUGGAUGCCCUGGCAGUCAGAGGCGAUGAAGGACGUGCUAAUCUGCGAUAAGCGUCGGUGAGGUGAUAUGAACCGUUAUAACCGGCGAUUUCCGAAUGGGGAAACCCAGUGUGUUUCGACACACUAUCAUUAACUGAAUCCAUAGGUUAAUGAGGCGAACCGGGGGAACUGAAACAUCUAAGUACCCCGAGGAAAAGAAAUCAACCGAGAUUCCCCCAGUAGCGGCGAGCGAACGGGGAGGAGCCCAGAGCCUGAAUCAGUGUGUGUGUUAGUGGAAGCGUCUGGAAAGGCGCGCGAUACAGGGUGACAGCCCCGUACACAAAAAUGCACAUG
This 356-nucleotide ribosomal RNA is filed under the name Escherichia coli. RNAcentral describes it as "partial 23S ribosomal RNA". It matches the Rfam family "Bacterial large subunit ribosomal RNA", at positions 1 to 393 of the family's 2925-position model. Lineage: Bacteria; Pseudomonadati; Pseudomonadota; Gammaproteobacteria; Enterobacterales; Enterobacteriaceae. The record is from RNAcentral.